UGGCUCAAUGGUUGAGCGUUAAACUCAAAAACUAAAGUUCAUGGGUUCGAAUCCCAG
This 57-nucleotide transfer RNA is filed under the name Schistocephalus solidus. It matches the Rfam family "tRNA", at positions 8 to 63 of the family's 71-position model. Rfam says of the family: Transfer RNA (tRNA) molecules are approximately 80 nucleotides in length. Their secondary structure includes four short double-helical elements and three loops (D, anti-codon, and T loops). The record is from Rfam by way of RNAcentral. Lineage: Eukaryota; Metazoa; Platyhelminthes; Cestoda; Diphyllobothriidea; Diphyllobothriidae.